CCUUCAGCGCCGCUCCCUGGCGGGCGGCUGCGGCGCUCGCCCCGUGCGUGACCCAGGGCUUCUUUGGCCUGCGUCCCCGAAGCCCCGGCGCCGCCCGCGAGCUUCCACCUGGGCUGGAAGGGUCGGGGUGAACUCUUAACUCCUGAGGUCGAAUCCGUCGACUCCUGUCCUUCGGGAAGAAACAGAAAGCGGUGGGCAAGUUCUGGAAAGAUUGCUGAACUGAACCAUUAUGUGGCUGUUCCCAUGUUGCUUAUGGUCUGUGGACAAGCCUGCAGACAACUGCAACAACUCAGAGAAGCAAAUGAAAGCUGUUGUUUUACCUGGGAAAAUAAAAUCUGGACUUGAAAAUUGUGACUACUAUUUAGAAAAAAAAAAAGAUGGAAAGUUGACUGUGUUUCUGCAUACCUCUAAUCACCAAGGGGAUGAGGCAGGAGGAUCAUGCGUUCAGGAGAAUCAGGAGGGCUACACCUUAGAAUGAUGAAAGGGGUGACAUGGAGCAAGAUGCGAUGUACUUCUAAACUGAUUUGUUGAAUGAUAACUCCUCUGCAUAACUACUUCAAGUUAAUAAACAUAAUUUUAUAAAUAGAUGGAAGGUGCUAUGGGUGAACUGGAGAAAAGGAAAGAUAGUCUCUACAAGCCUCUACUUCUGAGACUCAGGAUGGGAACUGAGAGAUAUGUUAAAGAAUCCUUGGAAAUAAGUUGAAGAUUGAAUCAUAAGAAAAAGAACCCCACAGAAAAUAAGGAGUCUUUAAAGGAAGAGAAAGGCCCAAGUAAUAUGACAAUAUGGGACCUCACCAUUGUCCUCAAAUCUUCAGCAAAGAUAAAAUAUGAGAUGUAUUUUCUGGUGAAAAUUAAGUAGAUGAUUUGCAUCUUAGUGCAAUGUAGUACAACUAGCAGCAGCAUAUUAGCAACAAUAAAACAACCCAUCCAUUGAGCUAGCUAGUAACCAGAGAAGGCACAAGGUUCACCCUCACCUUCAGAAUCUGCACACAAGAAUGAAUAAACUUAAGGCAAUUACAUUUGAAUCGCAAAAAAUGGGUUAUAAAUUGAUAAGAGGUGAGUACUUUACUUUUCACUCACUUUACUCCAUGUGACAGCCAUUUCCUACCUUAUGAAGAGAAAAUACUUGCAUGGUGAUGAUGUUGACAUUCAUGUUUCAUUUUCCUUUCAUUCAGAGGCCUGGGCCAUUGUAUGUUUUCUAUUCCUUUCUAGCUCUGGUAAGCAAACAGUGUUUCCUCCUUCACAGUAGAACUGA
Dipodomys ordii (Ord's kangaroo rat) is the source of this 1255-nucleotide long non-coding RNA. RefSeq lists it as uncharacterized. The record is from RefSeq and is a predicted model, not a curated record. Lineage: Eukaryota; Metazoa; Chordata; Mammalia; Rodentia; Heteromyidae. The transcript has 4 exons.